This 221-nucleotide long non-coding RNA is filed under the name Lathyrus oleraceus (garden pea). Its description in RNAcentral is "Pisum sativum (pea) long non-coding RNA (PSAT_LNC011793)". The record is from RNAcentral. Lineage: Eukaryota; Viridiplantae; Streptophyta; Magnoliopsida; Fabales; Fabaceae.
UUUCGAAGAAAAAUGUGUUCGUUAAUACACAUACAAAUUAUAUAAAAAAAAGGGAUUUGGGCCAAGGGUGACCGAAUGGGCCUCUUGGAAUAAAAGAUGUUGGUUCCUGGGCGGGUCAGACCUGACCCAACUUUGAUAUUACUAAAACCUUGAAAGAAAACCCUAAAAAACACAUCCAAAACGGCCGCUUAAAAAAAGUCUCAGAAGAAGAAACAAAAAAC